Non-coding RNA from Sus scrofa (pig), 1263 nucleotides. Lineage: Eukaryota; Metazoa; Chordata; Mammalia; Artiodactyla; Suidae. The record is from RefSeq and is a predicted model, not a curated record.
GGGCCAGGGCCCGAGCCGGGGCCGGGGGCCGGGGCCGGAACCGGGCGGCUGCGCGCUCACCUGCCGUGGAACCAGUCCUUGCAGGCGUCGCACUCGAUCAUGAAGCGGGCAAAAUCUGCAUGUUGCUGGGAGAUGCUGGCCACCACAAGCACAGAAUUCCAGACUUGAGGCAGGAAACCUGGGGCAGCUCACCUCACAGAAGCACCUUUAACAGACACUCAGCCGAGGCCUGCAGCUGCUAAGGGCCACUUGCUCCAAUUAUCUGGUAAGGCAGAGUUCUAAGAGUAGGCCCUUCAUGGGGUACCUGGACCAAGCUGAUCGGAUCCAGACCUGUGAGCCAUGAGAACUUUAGAACUCUCCGGGUUUUUCUGGUGAUCGAUCAUAUGGAUGAGGUGAAUUAUUUCUUAAUUUCUUGCCUUGGCCUGGGAUUUUGGAAUCAUGACAAAGCCAGGACAUUGGACAUUCUCUUUCAAUUGGAAAAUACUAAACUGAGGGCACUGUAAACGUAAGAAGGGCUAUAUCAACCCUCACUGGUAAUCAGAGCGAUGCAGAUGAAAACCAGAAACCCAUUUUCUCCAGCAUUCUAGCAGAAAGUCAGGGUUUGAUCAGCACUAAGGACCAAGAUACUGUCACUGCCCACCCUUAAGUGUGCCUUCUGGUGAAAUGCAUGUAGGGUGUGCAUGUCUCCCAGGUUGUGACCACCUGGAGACUGGUCACACCCCCUCUAAAGGCCCACCAGCAGGCCUAGAGCCCUUACCCUGCAGUGCUGGCUUUCCACCCCCCUCAUGGACUCUCUCCAUCCACUGCUCCCUGUCCCAGGACCAAGCCUGACUCCAGCCUCCAAAGACCACCAUCCUUCUCAUCCACAUCCCAGAGGCCCUCCUUGCCAUGCACCCAUCACAUCAUCAUAUUUCCCUCAUCUUCUUGUCUGAAAUAUUCUUAUUUGUACACAUGUACACUUCCCCCAGCCCCUGUGAAUGCCAUGAAGGCAGGCCUGUGAUGCUCUCUGAGCCUCGGGAUCUAGGGCAGUACACGACGCAGAUGCUCCAUCAAUAUUGGGGGAUGUCCAAAUAAAGCCAUGUCCAGCCACACUGGGUGGGCAGGUACAUCAUGGCACAGACACUCAUGGAGUCUUGGGGCUAAGGGAGAACAGCGGGGAGAGAGCGAGCCAUGAAAUGAUGCUAGAUGGGGGAAAAUGUUACAAAAUAUAUCUGAUGGCUUGAUUAUUUUCUGUAAAAAAAUUAUAUAUUGAUAUUACACACA